This 206-nucleotide ribosomal RNA is filed under the name uncultured bacterium. Its description in RNAcentral is "partial 16S ribosomal RNA". It matches the Rfam family "Bacterial small subunit ribosomal RNA", at positions 568 to 774 of the family's 1533-position model. The record is from RNAcentral.
UGCGCAGGCGGAAUGCUAAGUCAACUGUUAAAUUUCCCGGCCUAACCGGGAGUCAGCGGUAGAUACUGGCGUUCUUGAGGGUGGAAGAGAGAAGUGGAAUUCUCGGAGUAGCGGUAAAAUGCGUAGAUCUCGAGAGGAACACCGAUGGCGAAGGCAGCUUCUUGGUCCAUUUCUGACGCUCAUGCACGAAAGCGUGGGAGCAAACA